Molecule: long non-coding RNA, 2534 nt
Organism: Clupea harengus (Atlantic herring)
Lineage: Eukaryota; Metazoa; Chordata; Actinopteri; Clupeiformes; Clupeidae
Source: Ensembl
UAAGGCUGCAUGUAGUCUAGGCAACAUUAGUCGAAUCUCACAGUGGUUUAUGGAUUUGUCUCGCUGUAGCCUGCUGUGAAUUAAGCACUAAGCAAACCACUGGCAGUUCAUGCCAUGGCCUACGACGGUGGCAUCAGGUGUAAAAGGUCAAUCUGUAGGCCCUCGGGUAAACUAAGACUUUAAAUAGCUUUUCAUAGUAUGUCAUUUCUCUCACACCUUAGAAUGAUUAAGUUAUUAUUUAGGGAUAACUAUAUUUAAAAGCUCACCAGAAAAACACACUUCUUUGCAUUGUCGCUACCUCCAAGAACUUUAACGUUACCAAUUUCUUAGAAGUUAAAUUAACGUCAUACUUCCAAGUAGGGUCCUUCAAACCCGUGAAUAAGGUUCUUGCGUAUGUCUGCUGUCUCGCAAGACCAAAUUCCUAGUUGGUUGUCUUGUACAUUUAUGGGAAUUAUACAUUCACUUUCCAAAUGAUUUUUCCUUUCCCAGAAAUCCACAUGGUUUCGUUUUGACUGAAGUAGACUAAAUACACUUAAUAGCUCCGGGAGAUUCCCGUCGGAGAGUCUAUUAAACCAAGCAACCAGAGACAGUCGCCGGUUCGUGCCUUUCCGAAGCUGCAAGUUGUUCUGGUGGCUGUGCCUAAAUCUAUACUUAUAGGGGACAAAGGCUGCCUCUGGAGAAGAUGAUGUCCUGAUAGGCUGACAAAGGCUCCCUCUGGAGAAGAUGAGGUCCUGAUCCAAAGCUGUCUGGACUAGACGUGGUCCAUGGUCAACAGACAUCAAACAUCAAACAUCAGAGAAUGUUCAAUAAUAAUAAAGCAACUAACUCAGGCUCUUGAGUUAGUUAGUUUUGUUAGUUAAUUAGUUUAUUCGUAAGUUACUUUAUUAGUCAAUGUGUUUGUUUGUUAGUUAGUUAGUCUAUUAGUUAGUUUAGUUUGUUAGUUACAUGUAAAAGUUCGUUUAUUCGUUUAUUAGGUUUGAUAUCGUUUUAGUUUUGUUAGUUAAUCUAGGGUUAGGGUUACUAACUCUUGGGUUGUAGAUUUGUCUGUUUAUCAGUAACCUUCAGGCAUCCUCAAACAUGAGCUUGUCUGUUUAUCAGUAAGCUUUAGGCAUCCUCAAACAUGAGCUUGCUUUGGGUGACUAGUAUGCAUGGUGACUUUUCAAGUUUGUGUCACCUGAUCUCUGUAAAAUGAUUAACAAUGAACAAUUAAAGUAAGCCAUGAAAAAGCCAUGUAAUUCUGCAGUGAUAUGUACUUCAUAAAGAUAGCCCCAACAGUAGUCUCCCAGGCAUACUGUACAUACUAAAAAACAAAGAAAACAGCUUUUAUUUUAUUGUAUUUGUUAUGUUUUGCUGUUUCUGGUAUGCACUGUAACAAGGGGCACCAGUUUAUUCAUAUUUAUUUCAAGUCUUGCUAGCAACCCUUACACGUCACUUAACACAAUCAGGUUAUGCAGACUGAAAAUAAUAAAAACGGGAAAGAGCAUCUUUUGUAAGUGUGUGAGAUUGCAUAAUUGUAUACAUUCUGGGAAGGUACAGUUAAGCAGUGGGUCAUUUAAUAGAGCAGAACGAUGGCGAUGGAAGGAAGCCAUUGAAGGCAGAGGAAAAGGGAGACUGACGGAGACUAGUUCAGUACAAUACUGAUGCGUGUGUGGUGCCUGCUAUCCGCAAACAACACUUUGUAGGACAUUUUGGUAAAAGGAAUGUAGGUCAUGCUUUGGGGCACUGACUGAUUCAUUUAGGCCUAUGCUUUCCUUCCAGCAGUGUCAUCAGAAAACCUGAGUCCUUUAAAAAUAAAUGUCUGAACACUGCAGAAUUAGUUUUAAAUGCUGUAUGGUUGAGUCGGGGCACGAUUCUCUAGACUCGUCGGCCCUUUUAUGAAAAGACUUGCAGUAGGCACCAGAUCUAGUGGUGUGAAAACUUUGACCCAAACCAAUUAGAAAGACGCCCCAACAAAAUAGAGGAGAUGAGGCCUUGCACUCUUAGACACACAUGGCUGAACACAGCUGUGAUAAUCAUUCCUUAUUGAGUAACUUUGUAUGUGUUUGGUAUAGGACAAGAGGCUUGGAAAUGGUGUGAAGGCCUAAGUGUGUUUUAUAUGACAUAGAUUGACACAGCGCUGAAGAACGCUGUGUUAAACAUUCUGUUACGGCCACAUGUGUGUUGUGUUCUUGUUUACCACUUCCUUCCCUUUCUGUAGCUCCGCCCAGGUUGUGGUACACCUGAUUGCCAGAUGAGAUGCACCUGGUCAGGUGAUUAAGCAGCAGUUAAAGACUCCAGUUUCCUGCUGCGGAAGAAGAGGCUUCUAGCGUGUGGACUGCUGCCUCUCAGCCUCUCAGCCUCUCAGCCUCUCAGCCUCUCAGCCUCUCAGCCUGUGAUUUUGUUGUGUAGUUAUGUUUUGAUAUGGUUUCUAGAGUUGUUGUGUAUUUGUUUAUAUUAAUAAAUCCUUUGGAUUUGGUGCUUUUAAAAAGGUGUUUCUAGUAGUUGAUUUGGGUCAGUGGUGGAGUGUUGUUCGCCCCAUAAAGCUACCAAAGGUU